UCGUAGUGACUGCGGAGGAUCAUUA
This 25-nucleotide ribosomal RNA is filed under the name Hyaloscypha variabilis. RNAcentral describes it as "partial 18S ribosomal RNA". The record is from RNAcentral. Lineage: Eukaryota; Fungi; Ascomycota; Leotiomycetes; Helotiales; Hyaloscyphaceae. RNAcentral also lists the same sequence under 1 other name.